GAGGCGCAGGGCGGCGGGAAGAUGGCGGCCGGCGCUGGGGCGUUGUGGUGUCAUGGCGCUCCUCCUGCUGGGCUCGGUCGGCUCCCUGCCGCCGCGCUGCUCCUCGCGGGCCUGUCCUCAUGUUUUCAAGUCUCCCUGUAAGAACUGAGGCCUCAGAGCUUCACUUCUAUUUCUUACCAUUUUGUCUAAAAUGUGAAGGAAAGCAAAACCUUGGCUCACAGAUAUACGUGACCCAUCUGGUUGUGUCCAUGGGGCGCUGGAGCCUGAACAGUCUGAGUCCUUCACGGCUCUGCAUCGCCGCCUGUACUGCGUGUCGGCUGUGGUGCAGGCAGAGCAGAGCUGAUGCAUCAUGAGGUUCAGCAUCUUGCCCUGGGAUCUUCCUUCAUCUCCCAUUUGGAAUAGAAUGUGCUGUUCACUGCAUUAAUGGGAGUUUUGUGUGAAAGGGACUUUGUUGAUGAUGGUGCUGCUGAAAGAAAAAAUACUUCACAGAACCUUGUCAGGAAUCACAGCUCUUUAGAAGACUCAUCCCCACGCUGUUGCCUGCACAUCAAGCCUGCCUGUUUCCACUCUGCCCUCAGGACUUCUGCCUAGGGGAUUCUAUCAGCCUCCCUUGGGGACUCAGAUCUUAAUCACACCGUGUGAUCACAAAUGACUUCAGUGUUUGUUUGGGCAGAAUCGGUUUUUUACUGGGCACAGUGAAUUAAUUCUCCAAGCCUUGCCUUGGACAGCAAUGCCUUCAUGAAAAUUGAUUUAAAUAUUAUUAAAGCAUAUUAACUAACAUUAAUAAAUAAAGUAUUUGAAAAUGC
This is a long non-coding RNA of Gallus gallus (chicken), 806 nucleotides long. RefSeq lists it as uncharacterized. Lineage: Eukaryota; Metazoa; Chordata; Aves; Galliformes; Phasianidae. The transcript is spliced from 3 exons. The record is from RefSeq and is a predicted model, not a curated record.